GACGAACCGUGCGAACGUUGUUCGGAAUCACUGGGCUUAAAGGGCGCGUAGGCGGGCUGCCAAGUCUGGGGUGAAAUCCUCCGGCUCAACCGGAGAACGGCCUCGGAUACUGGCGGUCUCGAGGGAGGUAGGGGCGUGCGGAACUAAGGGUGGAGCGGUGAAAUGCGUUGAUAUCCUUAGGAACUCCGGUGGCGAAGGCGGCACGCUGGACCUCUUCUGACGCUGAGGCGCGAAAGCCAGGGGAGCAAACGGG
RNAcentral lists this ribosomal RNA (253 nucleotides) under uncultured bacterium. RNAcentral describes it as "partial 16S ribosomal RNA". It matches the Rfam family "Bacterial small subunit ribosomal RNA", at positions 524 to 776 of the family's 1533-position model. RNAcentral also lists the same sequence under 2 other names. The record is from RNAcentral.